GCAGCAAUGGGGCCUUCCUUGUCGCUACUUCCUGCUGUAAACCUCGCGCUGAGUGUUGGAGGUGGGGACCGUGUGUGGACGGGACCAGCCAGACAGGCUGCCAGUGCCCCAGGAGGACUCUGAGAAAAGCCCCAACGUAUCUUUCUCAUUAGGAAACCAUGGUGCUUGAGUUCCUGCCAGGAGAGUUACUUAUUCAAUUAAGUUACUCCAUAAAGUACGGCUUAACAAGGAGUAAGGAGUUGAUGUAGCAAUUCAGUGAAUGGUUGUCUAGUUUCAGGUAGUUCACAGGAUGAGCUAAGCAGAAGGGCAGAAAUCAUCGGUUGAUUGUUAUGCUCAGGAUCUGGACAAAAGAGUACUUUAAAGCUUGCCAAUCAAAGACGUCUAAGUAGGACAUGGAGAGCAGGCGGAACACGGGCGGCGAGGCCAUGGCAGCACGUGUAACUCUGGAAUGCACAGCUGCACUGCGAAGCACAGCUGGGAGGGAGCAGUGCCGGUCCAGUCAGCCCAGCCCGCCCUCAGUCCUGGCGCCUUCAGAGCACCGGCCGGCUGCCAAGCCCUGCAUCCGGAGUCUUGAGGUGUAUGAAGAUGAAGGUCUGGUCCUUCUCAGGAAGGUCACCAUCCAGAGGAGGUUAAAGAAUACACGCUAUGGAGUAGAAAGAGCCCCGAUGUGAAGGCUGCCAUCAGAAUUCAAUUUCAUAGCACCACUCUGAGCAACUGUUUCAUUUUCUGUAACAAAGAGUAGUAAUAUAUACCUCCCAGGGUUGCAUAAACCUUGAAGGAGCUAAUAAAAAAUCUUA
This 797-nucleotide unclassified non-coding RNA is filed under the name Bos taurus (domestic cattle). RNAcentral describes it as "hypothetical LOC100190916". Lineage: Eukaryota; Metazoa; Chordata; Mammalia; Artiodactyla; Bovidae. The record is from RNAcentral.